Molecule: ribosomal RNA, 602 nt
Filed under: Lactobacillus sp.B CG1
Lineage: Bacteria; Bacillati; Bacillota; Bacilli; Lactobacillales; Lactobacillaceae
Description: bacterial SSU rRNA
Rfam family: Bacterial small subunit ribosomal RNA
Source: RNAcentral
CUACGGGAGGCAGCAGUAGGGAAUCUUCCACAAUGGACGCAAGUCUGAUGGAGCAACGCCGCGUGAGUGAAGAAGGUUUUCGGAUCGUAAAGCUCUGUUGUUGGUGAAGAAGGACAUGGAUAGUAACUGAUCUAUGUUUGACGGUAAUCAACCAGAAAGUCACGGCUAACUACGUGCCAGCAGCCGCGGUAAUACGUAGGUGGCAAGCGUUGUCCGGAUUUAUUGGGCGUAAAGCGAACGCAGGCGGGAAAACAAGUCAGCUGUGAAAGCCCUCGGCUUAACCGAGGAANGGCAACUGAAACUGUUUUUCUUGAGUGCAGAAGAGGAGAGUGGAACUCCAUGUGUAGCGGUGAAAUGCGUAGAUAUAUGGAAGAACACCAGUGGCGAAGGCGGCUCUCUGGUCUGUAACUGACGCUGAGGUUCGAAAGCAUGGGUAGCGAACAGGAUUAGAUACCCUGGUAGUCCAUGCCGUAAACGAUGANUGCUAAGUGUUGGGAGGUUUCCGCCUCUCAGUGCUGCAGCUAACGCAUUAAGCUCCCCCCGGGGAGUACGACCNCCAGGUUNAAACUCAAAGAAUUUGACGGGGGCCCNCNCNAGCGGUG